This 546-nucleotide small RNA is filed under the name Pan troglodytes (chimpanzee). RNAcentral's name for it is "processed transcript". Lineage: Eukaryota; Metazoa; Chordata; Mammalia; Primates; Hominidae. The record is from RNAcentral.
GACUUCGGGGCCAAGAUGGCGACGGGAACGGGCAAACACAAGCUGCUAAGCACUGGCCCCACAGAGCCAUGGUCCAUCCGAGAGAAGCUAUGUUUAGCAUCUUCUGUCAUGAGAAGUGGAGAUCAAAAUUGGGUAUCAGUUAGCAGAGCAAUCAAGCCCUUUGCAGAACCUGGCCGCCCUCCAGACUGGUUCUCUCAAAAACAUUGUGCUUCCCAGUACUCGGAGCUUUUAGAGACCACUGAGACACCAAAACGGAAACGAGGUGAAAAGGGAGAAGUGGUGGAAACUGUUGAAGAUGUUAUUGUUCGGAAACUGACUGCUGAGCGAGUUGAAGAACUAAAGAAAGUGAUAAAGGAAACCCAGGAGAGAUAUAGACGGCUAAAGAGAGAUGCAGAACUAAUUCAAGCUGGACACAUGGACAGCAGACUGGAUGAGCUUUGCAAUGACAUUGCAAUGAAAAAGAAAUUGGAAGAAGAGGAGGCUGAAGUAAAGAGGAAGGCUACAGAUGCUGCAUACCAGGAUUUGGACAUUGUUCUCUUUUAUGUU